RNAcentral lists this long non-coding RNA (1908 nucleotides) under Phasianus colchicus (ring-necked pheasant). Its description in RNAcentral is "lncRNA (ENSPCLG00000005953.1)". The record is from RNAcentral. Lineage: Eukaryota; Metazoa; Chordata; Aves; Galliformes; Phasianidae.
AUGGCUGCCCCCAGAGCACCGUGGGGGGAGCAGCACGCAGCACCCAGGCUGGGAUCAGCAGUGAGGACUGUCAGCACAGCAGCUCAGUGGAUUGACAGAUUCACUCAGACAUCAUCUCCAAGGCUGGGGGGGGAGAGGGGCACGUACUCACUCACCACCUCCCCGAUGAGGGCUGAGAGGCUGGGGGCCACCUGGCUCAUCUUGGAGCGCAGGUACUCCUGCAGGCCCUUACGGUACUCAGACAGAGAGAUCACGCGGCUGGAGAAGCUCUCGAUGUUGAUGAGGUCGAUGGGGGAGAUGUCCAUCCCUGGGGGAAAGCAGUGUCAGGGAGCUGAGCUCUGCCAGGAGCUCUACGGGCUGUGCAGAACCCCACUCACCCAUGGAGGAGCGGGACGCCUCCAGGAUGGCCUGAGCCUUGGCACCAUCCAUGACGAUCUCCUCCAGCCCCUCCAGGCUCUCCUCGCUCAGCUCCUUGCGGUUCCCGAUGAAUUUGGCCAGCCGGCAAUACGUGUAGUUCUCAGAGACGAUCUUGAUCAGCUCGGGGAAGUGGUACCCGUACCACUCCCUGCAGGACAGCAUCAGCACAGGCACCGACCCCACACCGACCCCACGCCCCCCCAGCCCCCCGUGUCCCCCCGGUCACAAUCCGGCUGCAGCACCGCCGCCCCAGCCGGGGUGUUACCCGAGGCCGUGCUCUCCCUCCCCGUUCUAUGCAGGCGGUUGGAGAUGCAGCCACCUGCGGUAAGCGUGGGGAGGCCCCGCACCACCACCCUGCCCAGCCCCCGCUCACCGCACGCGCAUGGAGAAGGUGUUGAUGUCCUUGUCCAGCUGGUCCAGCAGACUGAUGGACUGGAUGAUCAUGUUGUCCACGCGGUUCACGUUGAACUUCACCUUGGCCCGGGAGUAGCUGUGGCCGAGGCCGAGCUGCGCCUUGGAGGCCGACUGCGCCGUGAGGCCCUUCACCAGCGCGUGGAAGUGCAGGCGGAUCCCUGCGGGGGGACAAACCGUCACCGGCCCCGUCCCCGCCCCCACGGCAGCCCCGCGCCCCACAGCUCGGCUCACCCCGCAGGAUCUCGGCCACCACGCCGCCGGUCUGGCACUGGUAGCCCAGCUCCUCCAGGAUGGCGGCCCCGAUUUUGGCGUCUCCCACCCCCAGCAGCGCCUUCUUCUUCUUGGCCGGCAUCGACGUCUCCAGCAGCAGCCGCAGAUCCUCGUGCAGGAUCCCUGCGGGACGCGGAGCGGCGCUCAGCGGGGCGGGCCGGGAGCCGCACGGGGCGGCCGCGCGCCGCGCUCACCCUCGGAGACGGCGUUCAUGUUCUCCAGGGCGGCCUGCGCGGAUUUGAACGGGGAAAACGCCACGAGCUUCACCACGUUGUGGAACUUGCCGACGGUGAGCACGCUCUCCUCCACCUGCGACGGGACGCGGUCACGGCACGGAGCGGCGCGCGGGGCCGCCGAGCCCCCGCCCGCGGCCCGGCCCGGCCCGUACCUGCGGCAGCAGCAAACCGAUCUCCUCCACCUCGCGGACGGCGAACAGCGCGUAGCCGGCGGCAUGCUCGAACAGCGCGUGCAGCAGCACCUGAGCGAGCGCCGUCGUCAGCGCGGCCCGGCUCGCCCGCCAGGCCCCGCUCCGCUCCGCCCCGCCGCGACGAGGGCGGCCCCGCUCCGCGCCCCGCGGCCCCCCGGCCCGCUCCCACCCGCUCCCCCCGCCCGGCGUUGCGGCCCCGGCCCGAUGCGGGCGGAUUGGGCCCCGCGCGCCCCGCGCUCACCAUCGUGCCGCCAGCGCCGCCCGGAACUGAGAGCGCCGCACCGGAAGCCCGCUUUGCCGGAAACACGUCCGGCCCGCACGCAGCCAAUCGGCGGCGGCACCGCCGCUCCCUCCAACCAAUCAGCGCAGGCUUCCUCUAG